GUCUCUUUAGAUCAAUAUCCUGGGGGGUCGGUGGAAGGCUGGUUAAACCGUUUGGUUUACGACCACUACGACCCGGGUUCGAUCCCCGCAUUGGACA
Molecule: transfer RNA, 97 nt
Filed under: Cordylochernes scorpioides
Lineage: Eukaryota; Metazoa; Arthropoda; Arachnida; Pseudoscorpiones; Chernetidae
Description: tRNA-Val
Source: RNAcentral